UACGUAGGGUGCGAGCGUUAAUCGGAAUUACUGGGCGUAAAGAGUGCGUAGGCGGUUCGUUAUGUCUGCUGUGAAAGCCCCGGGCUUAACCCGGGAAUGGCAGUGGAAACUGGCGGGCUUGAGUGUGGCAGAGGGGGUGGAAUUCCGCGUGUAGCAGUGAAAUGCGUAGAGAUGCGGAGGAACACCGAUGGCGAAGGCAGCCCCCUGGGCUAACACUGAC
Molecule: ribosomal RNA, 220 nt
Filed under: uncultured bacterium
Lineage: Bacteria
Description: partial 16S ribosomal RNA
Rfam family: Bacterial small subunit ribosomal RNA
Source: RNAcentral